Molecule: ribosomal RNA, 252 nt
Filed under: uncultured bacterium
Lineage: Bacteria
Description: partial 16S ribosomal RNA
Rfam family: Bacterial small subunit ribosomal RNA
Source: RNAcentral
UACGUAGGGGGCAAGCGUUGUCCGGAAUUAUUGGGCGUAAAAAGCUCGUAGGCGGCUUGUCGCGUCGACUGUGAAACCCGCGGCUCAACUGCGGGCCUGCAGCCGAUACGGGCAGACUAGAGUUCGGUAGGGGAGACUGGAAUUCCUGGUGUAGCGGUGAAAUGCGCAGAUAUCAGGAGGAACACCGGUGGCGAAGGCGGGUCUCUGGGCCGAUACUGACGCUGAGGAGCGAAAGCGUGGGGAGCGAACAGG